GUGAAUCAUCGAAUCUUUGAACGCAAAUUGCACUCUCCGGUUUUCCGGGAGAGUAUGCCUGUUUGAGGGUCUGUUUAAAAAAUAAUCGCGGCUGCUGCUGUGGUGGCUCUUUGGCAUUGGGUCAUCUUUAUCCUUUCGGUUGUAAGAGACCUCAAAUUUUUUUUACGUUUUCUACGAACGUUUCU
This 185-nucleotide unclassified non-coding RNA is filed under the name Glomus sp. RNAcentral describes it as "partial contains 5.8S ribosomal RNA and internal transcribed spacer 2". The stretch from base 1 to 72 matches the Rfam family "5.8S ribosomal RNA", at positions 84 to 154 of the family's 154-position model. The record is from RNAcentral. Lineage: Eukaryota; Fungi; Glomeromycota; Glomeromycetes; Glomerales; Glomeraceae.